CCUACGGGUGGCAGCAGUAGGGAAUAUUGCUCAAUGGGGGAAACCCUGAAGCAGCAACGCCGCGUGGAGGAUGACGGCUUUCGGAUUGUAAACCCCUUUUGUUAGAGAAGAUAAUGACGGUAUCUAACGAAUAAGCACCGGCUCACGCCGUGCCAGCAGCCGCGGUUAUACGGAGGGUGCAAGCGUUACUCGGAAUAACUGGGCGUAAAGAGCGCGUAGGCGGGAUAGCAAGUCAGAUGUGAAAUCCUAUGGCUUAACCAUAGAACUGCGUUUGAAACUGUUAUUCUAGAGUAUGGGAGAGGUAGGUGGAAUUCGUGGUGUAGGGGUAAAAUCCGUAGAGAUCAAGAAGAAUACUCAUUGCGAAGGCGACCUGCUAGAGCAUAACUGACGCUGAUGCGCGAAAGCGUGGGGAGCGAACAGGAUUAGAUACCCCGGUAGUC
This 440-nucleotide ribosomal RNA is filed under the name uncultured bacterium. Its description in RNAcentral is "partial 16S ribosomal RNA". It matches the Rfam family "Bacterial small subunit ribosomal RNA", at positions 338 to 795 of the family's 1533-position model. The record is from RNAcentral.